RNAcentral lists this unclassified non-coding RNA (236 nucleotides) under Hevea brasiliensis (rubber tree). The record is from RNAcentral. Lineage: Eukaryota; Viridiplantae; Streptophyta; Magnoliopsida; Malpighiales; Euphorbiaceae.
UCGCGAGUCUCCUCGUUCUUGUCGACAGGCUCGAUCGAAAUGCGGCGCUUGUUCUUGUAGUCGCGGCCGAAGCGGAUCGUGCCGGCGAUUUCCGCGAUGAUCGCGGCAUCCUUCGGCUUUCGGGGCUCGGACAGGUUCCGCCGGUGAUGUCGCGGGUCUUGGCGCUUUCCGUCGAAACACGGGCAAGAAUGUCGCCCGCCUUGACCUUGGCACCCACGUCAACCGACAGAAUGCCA